AACGAACGCUGGCGGCAUGCCUAACACAUGCAAGUCGAACGAGACCUCCGUGUGUGGUGGCGCACUGGUGCGUAACGCGUGGGAACCUGCCCUUAGUUUCGGAAUAACUCCCCUAAAGGGGUGCUAAUACCGGAUAAUGUCUUCGGACCAAAGAUUUAUCGCCGUUGGAUGGGCCCGCGUUGGAUUAGCUAGUUGGUAGGGUAAAAGCCUACCAAGGCGACGAACCAUAGCUGGUAUGAGAGGAUGAUCAGCCACACUGGGAAUGAGACACGGCCCAGACUGCGACGGAAGGCAGCAGUGGGGAAUAUAGGACACUGGGCGAAAGCCUGAUACAGCAAUGCCGGGUGAGUGAUGAAGGCCUUAGGGUUGUAAAGCUCUUUUACCCGGGAUGAUAAUGACAGUACCUGGAGAAGAAGCACCGGCUAACUCCGU
Molecule: ribosomal RNA, 432 nt
Filed under: uncultured bacterium
Lineage: Bacteria
Description: partial 16S ribosomal RNA
Rfam family: Bacterial small subunit ribosomal RNA
Source: RNAcentral